RNAcentral lists this ribosomal RNA (416 nucleotides) under uncultured bacterium. RNAcentral's name for it is "bacterial SSU rRNA". It matches the Rfam family "Bacterial small subunit ribosomal RNA", at positions 9 to 429 of the family's 1533-position model. The record is from RNAcentral.
GAGUUUGAUCUUGGCUCAGAUUGAACGCUGGCGGCAUGCCUUACACAUGCAAGUCGAACGGCAGCGCGGGGCAACCUGGCGGCGAGUGGCGAACGGGUGAGUAAUAUAUCGGAACGUACCCUGGAGUGGGGGAUAACGUAGCGAAAGUUACGCUAAUACCGCAUACGAUCUAAGGAUGAAAGUGGGGGACGCGCAAGCACCUCAUGCUCCUGGAGCGGCCGAUAUCUGAUUAGCUAGUUGGUGGGGUAAAGGCCUACCAAGGCAUCGAUCAGUAGCUGGUCUGAGAGGACGACCAGCCACACUGGAACUGAGACACGGUCCAGACUCCUACGGGAGGCAGCAGUGGGGAAUUUUGGGCAAUGGGCGAAAGCCUGAUCCAGCAAUGCCGCGUGAGUGAAGAAGGCCUCGGUUGUAAG